UCCCAAAGUACUGGGAUUCCAGGGGCGGGCCACCACACCCAGCCAGAUAAUGUAUUUUUAAAGUGUGCUGUAGUAAUUGGCAUCAGGUAAUCAUUCAGUAAAUUGUGGCUAUUAUUGUUAGGCAAGUUUUCAAACUUUGGGCCAUGUGGCCCACUGCAGAUUACAGGGGCUCCGAGAGAGUCAGACAGGCAACAGUGGGUAUGACCAGUUGAGUAA
Molecule: long non-coding RNA, 216 nt
Filed under: Pan troglodytes (chimpanzee)
Lineage: Eukaryota; Metazoa; Chordata; Mammalia; Primates; Hominidae
Description: long non-coding RNA NONPTRT016582
Source: RNAcentral